Molecule: long non-coding RNA, 828 nt
Filed under: Salmo salar (Atlantic salmon)
Lineage: Eukaryota; Metazoa; Chordata; Actinopteri; Salmoniformes; Salmonidae
Description: lncRNA (ENSSSAG00000094303.1)
Rfam family: mir-15 microRNA precursor family (bases 683-765)
Source: RNAcentral
CCCAUAUAGAUAAACAGUUAUGGUAUCUUGCAAUGCUCCUGGGUAGGGCUGAAAUGUCAAAUAUGCCAACUUGGAUGAAUUAUUGCUUAAAUAUGCUUUUAGAUACAAAUGUCAAAUAUAUGUCAACAAUACUUAAUCCAAAGGACCAUUUUAUGGAUAAAAUUGUGACAAUCCAAAAAAUUCCCUUUUGUUCUAGUUUCAUGUGGACUCACUGUUUCUUUCUCUGAUGUGUGAGGGGGAGAUAGUGAGCCAGAGGAUGAGGGUAUGCAGGAGAGGGAGGGAGUGAGAGGUGUGUGUGUGUAAGGGAGAGAAUCAGAGGAUGUGUGUGCAGAGGGGAGUGAGAGGUGUGUGUGUGUAAGGGAGAGAAUCAGAGGGGGUGUGUGUGUGUGUAUAUAUGCAGGAGUGCUGAGGGGAGUGAGAGGUGUGUGUAAGGGAGAGAAUCAGAGGAUGGGUGUGUGUAUGCAGGGAGUGAGAGGUGUGUGUGUGUGUGAGGGAGAGAAUCAGAGGAUGAGUGUGUGUGUAUGCAGGGAGUGCUGAGGGGAUUGAGAGGUGUGUGUGUGUGCAGGGAGAAUCAGAGGAUGAGUGUGUGUGUAUGCAGGGAGUGCUGAGGGGAGUGAGAGGUGUGUGUGUGUGUGUGUGUGUGUGUAAGGGAGAGAAUCAGAGGAUGAGAGAUGGAGCUGGUUGUGGUGGUGCUGUAGCAGCACAGAAUGGUUUGUGGGUUACACAGAGAUGCAGGCCGUACUGUGCUGCCGCAGUAACGCCUGGACAGACGGCAUCUGUGGAACCACCCGGAAGAGUGUGUGCGGGAGAGUGUGUGUGUGGGAUCCG